This 74-nucleotide transfer RNA is filed under the name Scinax albertinae. RNAcentral describes it as "tRNA-Leu". It matches the Rfam family "tRNA". Rfam says of the family: Transfer RNA (tRNA) molecules are approximately 80 nucleotides in length. Their secondary structure includes four short double-helical elements and three loops (D, anti-codon, and T loops). The record is from RNAcentral. Lineage: Eukaryota; Metazoa; Chordata; Amphibia; Anura; Hylidae.
AGUUAACGUAGCAAAGCCAGGCCUUGCUAAAGAUCUAAGCCCUUUUAACAGAGGUUCAAAUCCUCUCGUUAACU